GGCCGCCUGGCGAAAUGGCAUCGCGUCUGACUACGAUGUGUGAUCAGGAGAUUGCAGGUUCGAGCCCUGCGGUGGUCA
Molecule: non-coding RNA, 78 nt
Organism: Rickenella mellea
Lineage: Eukaryota; Fungi; Basidiomycota; Agaricomycetes; Hymenochaetales; Rickenellaceae
Source: the annotation of a GenBank genome assembly